ACACAUGCAAGUCGAACGAAGCACUUUAACCUGAUUCUUCGGAUGAAGGUUUUUGUGACUGAGUGGCGGACGGGUGAGUAACGCGUGGGUAACCUGCCUCAUACAGGGGGAUAACAGUUAGAAAUGACUGCUAAUACCGCAUAAGACCACAGAGCCGCAUGGCUCGGUGGGAAAAACUCCGGUGGUAUGAGAUGGACCCGCGUCUGAUUAGGUAGUUGGUGGGGUAACGGCCUACCAAGCCAACGAUCGGUAGCCGACCUGAGAGGGUGACCGGCCACAUUGGGACUGAGACACGGCCCAAACUCCUACGGGAGGCAGCAGUGGGGAAUAUUGCACAAUGGGGGAAACCCUGAUGCAGCGACGCCGCGUGAGCGAAGAAGUAUUUCGGUAUGUAAAGCUCUAUCAGCAGGGAAGAAAAUGACGGUACCUGACUAAGAAGCACCGGCUAAAUACGUGCCAGCAGCCGCGGUAAUACGUAUGGUGCAAGCGUUAUCCGGAUUUACUGGGUGUAAAGGGAGCGUAGACGGCUGUGUAAGUCUGAAGUGGAAGCCCGGGGCUCAACCCCGGGACUGCUUUGGAACUAUGCAGCUAGAGUGUCGGAGAGGUAAGUGGAUUCCCAGUGUAGCGGUGAAAUGCGUAGAUAUUGGGAGGAACACCAGUGGCGAAGGCGGCUUAC
This 676-nucleotide ribosomal RNA is filed under the name uncultured Lachnospiraceae bacterium. RNAcentral describes it as "bacterial SSU rRNA". It matches the Rfam family "Bacterial small subunit ribosomal RNA", at positions 51 to 729 of the family's 1533-position model. Lineage: Bacteria; Bacillati; Bacillota; Clostridia; Lachnospirales; Lachnospiraceae. The record is from RNAcentral.